GAUGAACGCUGGCGGCGCGCCUAACACAUGCAAGUCGAACGAUUAAAGCACCUUCGGGUGUGUAUAAAGUGGCGAACGGCUGAGUAACACGUGGGCAACCUGCCCCUCUCAUUGGGAUAGCCACGGGAAACCGUGGAUAAUACCGAAUACUUCGGGACUUCCGCAUGGAAGACUCGAGAAAGCUCCGGCGGAGAGGGAUGGGCCCGCGGCCUGUUAGCUUGUUGGUGGGGUAAUGGCCUACCAAGGCAAUGAUGGGUAGCUGGGUUGAGAGACCGACCAGCCAGAUUGGGACUGAGACACGGCCCAGACUCCUACGGGAGGCAGCAGUGGGGAAUCUUGGACAAUGGGCGAAAGCCUGAUGCAGCGACGCCGCGUGCGGGAUGAAGGCCUUCGGGUUGUAAACCGCUUUCAGCAGGGACGAGGCGAAAGUGACGGUACCUGCAGAAGAAGCCCCGGCUAACUACGUG
Molecule: ribosomal RNA, 467 nt
Filed under: uncultured bacterium
Lineage: Bacteria
Description: partial 16S ribosomal RNA
Rfam family: Bacterial small subunit ribosomal RNA
Source: RNAcentral